CCGGGCGCAUCGAGGACGCGCUCGCGUCGGUGGCCGACAUCGUGCAGUCGAGCCGCAAGAUCCGCCGCGCCGUCACGGGCGGCGUCGCGUAUCCGGUCGGGCUCGUCGUGAUGGUGAUCGGCUAUCUGUACCUGUUCGGCACGCACGUGAUCCCGAAAUUCGCGCUGAUCGCCGAUCCGGCGCACUGGCGCGGCGCCGCGCGCUCGCUGUAUCUGAUGUCGCUGUUCGUGCAGGGCUGGAUGCUCGUCGUCGUCGCGGCGCUCGCGGCGGCGCUCGUCGCGCUCGCGUGGUCGCUGCCGCGCUGGCGCGGGCCGCUGCGCAUCUACGCGGACCGCGUGCCGCCUUAUUCGAUCUACCGGCUCAUCGCGGGCAGCGGCUUUCUGAUCGCGUUCUCGGCGCUGCAGGCGUCGGGCGUCACCGUCGAGAAGGCGCUGCUGAAGAUCGGCUCGGUCGCGGGGCCGUGGCUGCGCGAGCGAAUCGACGACACGCUCGUCGGCGUGAAGUCGGGCCUGAACGCCGGCGAGGCGCUGCUCAACGCCGGCUAUCAGUUUCCGUCGCGCGAGAUCGUCGAGGAUCUGUGCAUCUAUGCCGAAUACGGCGGCUUCGACGCCGCGCUCAAGAUGCUCGCCGACGAAUGGCUCGAGGAGGGCGUCGCGCGGAUCACCGCGCAGAUGCGCGUGCUCAACGGCGUCGCGAUCGUCGUGCUCGCGCUGCUGAUCGGCUGGCUCGUGACGGGCUUCUUCGGCAUCCAGCAGGAAAUCGCCGCAAUGACGCGCGCGAUGCAUUGACGUCGCGCAUUUUCAAUUCAGGAGAAACCAGCAUGAAACCACUCGCCGCCCAUCCCGCCUAUCGACACGAGCCGGCGUUCUGCCGGCGCCACCGCCGCGAGCGCGGCGCGUCGCUGCUCGAGAGCAUCGCGUAUCUCGGCGUCGCGGCGAUCGUGAUCGUCGGCGCGAUCGCGCUGCUCGGCUCGGCGUUCUCGAGCGCGAACACGAACCGGCUCGCCGAGGAGCUGAACGCGAUCCAGACGGGGACGAAAAAGCUGUAUAUGGGGCAGGUGAACAACUAUGGGAACGCCGACCUGAACGCGAAUCUCAUCGCGGCGCGGGUGUUUCCGAGCACGCUGCCCACCGGCAACAACAACACGGUAUCGAAUGCUUGGGGAGGCAACGUCACGGUGACGGGGGCCGGCCGGACCUUCACGGUCCAGUACACGAACGUUCCGCGCGACGUCUGCAUCAAUACGCUGACCGCCGGCGGCAACUGGCAGACCGUUGCGAUCGGCGGAAAUGCGCCGAUCAACUACCCGGUUUCGCCCACCAAUGCGACCGCGAACUGCGCGGACGCCGCCACGAUCGUCUGGACGUCGAACUGACGCCGCCCGAAUCGUUUUCCACCGUUCGCACCGCCGCACAUGUACGCGUUAGCCGCCGCACUGGCCUUCGCCUCGCUCGCCGCCGUCUACGCGGCGCUGCAGGGCCCGGCCGCCG
This 1490-nucleotide ribosomal RNA is filed under the name Burkholderia mallei 2002721280. RNAcentral describes it as "16S ribosomal RNA". The record is from RNAcentral. Lineage: Bacteria; Pseudomonadati; Pseudomonadota; Betaproteobacteria; Burkholderiales; Burkholderiaceae.